This is an RNA transcript of Octopus bimaculoides (California two-spot octopus), 2366 nucleotides long. RefSeq lists it as uncharacterized. NCBI's taxonomy places the organism in Eukaryota, Metazoa, Mollusca, Cephalopoda, Octopoda, Octopodidae. The record is from RefSeq and is a predicted model, not a curated record.
UCGGGACCACUAUGCUUUAGUAGUACCAGGUUCAUCUGAAACUCUUCUACCACUUAUUAAAAAAAUUAUUUAUAUAUAUAUUCUGAUUGUUGGUGUGCGUACAAUAAGAUUACUGAAAUAGAUGUGACACCAAAAUACACCCUGGAAGAACGUAAAACGACGUUUUAAGAAUUUGUGUUUUAUUUACUUUGUUUUAAAAACAUUAUUUACUUUGUUUAAAAAAAAAACCCUUAUACAUGUUUUGCGCAUUCGCGCUAGAUAGUCGUUGUAGGAUCGACUAGUCACCACUAGCUAGCGCGGAUGCGCGAGUGCACGCACCGGGACCACUCUUCUUGAAUAGUACCAAAUUAACGGGUUAAAGAUUAACGAAGUUAACUUUUUGAUAAACGGUGCUCACCUCUACGUAAAUGUAUAUUUUAGAAAUCAUUAAUGCCUGCAUUUUUUUUUUUUAGUAUUUCGUUGAACUUGCCGGCUGACAUCAUUUUCGUUUUGUACCGGUGCUCAAGGGCGUUGAAAUGCCUGCAAAUCCAAACACGUCGUAAUCUUUACUAUAUAUAUAUUUAAAAAUAUAUUGUGCGUAUAUCAAUUGUGGUACCAUGAAUAUAUACACACACAUACCACAAAUACAUAUGGAAAACGUAGCUGAAAACUUAAGAUCACCUUUUCUGUGUCGCGAUACGAAGGUAUGGCUAAAAAUAAAGAAGCACAUGUACAUUCAAGUCGAGAGAAGUUAAUGAAAACUUCAAACUCCAAAUCUUAUUACGAGGUAAUUUCUGUGGUAAUUUGGUGAAAAAUUUAAAGUUGCUGUUUACAGCUGAUAUAGAUAUUUAUUAUAUGGCUGGAAAUUUGACCAAUGAGGAACGGAAAUGGAUCCUCAAACAGUACUGGAAAACCGGGAAUGCAGAAAUGGUUAGACAGAAAUGGACUGAAGAAUUUCAAAGACCAGCUCCAUCAAGAUUAACAGUAUAUAGAAUACGUGAUAAAUUUGAGCAGACUGGGUCUGUCUGUAAUGCGCAGAAAAGCGGUCGACCAGUCAGUGUUACCACUGAAGAAAAUAAAAUUCUUGUGGCUCAAGCAUUUACCCAGAGCCCCCAGAAAUCAAAAAAGAGAGCUUCCAAUGAACUAGGCAUCUCUCGCAGAUCCCUUGGUCGUCUUAUGAAUCGAUUACCUAAAAAAGAAAUAGAGAAAUGAAAAGAAUAUUCUACUUAUUAACCAACUUUAUGCCUACUUUUUGCUCACACUCGUAUGUGUGUGCAUGUAUAUAUAUAUGUAUAUAUGCACGAGUGAUGACAUGUAGGUAUAUUCUUUAUAAAUAUUUGUGUAAGUAUAUUGUGCAUUGGUGUACCUAUCUAACUUAAUUUUAUUUCAUGACAUCUGUAUUUGGAAAUGUGAGGACAUCAUCAUUCUUUAACGUCUGUUUUCUGUGUUGGUAUGGGUUGGAGAGCUGCACCAGGUUCCAGUUUGAUUUGCCUUGGUUUCCACAGUUGGAUGCCCUUCCUAAUGCCAACCACUUUACAGUGUGUGCUGGGUGCUUUUACAUGGCACUGGCAUGAGUGCAUUUUGCAAUGCAGAACUCUUGCGAGCCAAUCCACUUCAUCAGGGGGAGUGGCCUUAACAUUUCUGCUGUGGAGGAUGGAUAUUCUUGUGUACAAUGAUUUGCAAACAGCCCUAUAUAUGAUAUGUUGUUUUUGUUUCACUUUCUUGUCACUCCAUCUUUCUCUUCUCUCCACUCAUAUUAUCUUCUUUAAACAAGGUAUGUCAAACCUGUCUCUGGGCCACAUUGUUGACAUAGUUGUCAUGGGGACCACAGAUUUUUAAACGUGUCUACAAUAAAGAUUUCCAUCAUUUGAUGAAAACUGAUGCCAGAAUAAUUUUGUACAGACAAAUUUUAUAACGACCACAAAAAACUAUAUUACUGAACAGUAACUAUUCAAAAGAUGUACAAGUUUACUGGUAAAUGUUGAUUAUAAUUUUGCUGUCCUGAUGCUUGGUAUCACUUUUUGGUAACUAAUUUUCAUAUAUCUGGAUCAUGUGUCCAUGCAAUACCAAUUUUCAUUAAUGAUGGCAAAUGUUUGUCUGUCAAUUAGGUCCUUUCAGAAGUUUUUGUUGUUUUCAUGAAGGAAAACAUCUGUUCACACACAUAAUCUUUGUGGCAAAUUGCUUGAUUUUCUCAAAUUGUUCAGGCAGAUCCUAUGAUCCCAUUUCAUUACACUUGGUUCUAAGUAAAGAGUCUGGCUGCAUUUCUAACAGUUCUACCUGUAUACUUUCAUCUUCCUUGGCAGCAUCAGGGAGAAAAAGGUGCUGUGAAUAAAGCAUUCAUUUUCGUCAGCUGAAAAAUCAAUAAAUCUUUAGAAAAGUUCAUCUCA